RNAcentral lists this long non-coding RNA (22977 nucleotides) under Homo sapiens (human). RNAcentral's name for it is "non-protein coding NR2F2-AS1:39". Lineage: Eukaryota; Metazoa; Chordata; Mammalia; Primates; Hominidae. The record is from RNAcentral.
AACUGGGUUUAUGUGCGUCCCCCUCACCCCCUCCUCUCUUUUUCUUUCUCUCUGUCUCUGUCGUCUCUCUCGCUGGCUUUUUAAAAAUGAGGAACCGCUCCUUGAAUGUUCUGGACAGAGCACAGAAUUGCUUCUUAAGUCAGCCCGGCGCGGUUGCAAUAGACAGCAAAAAGGUAAACGUUUGCCUGAAAUCCGCACGCCAGCUCCACCGCCCCGCCCGAUGGUCCCAGUUCCUCUGGGAAUCGUCCUGUAUGCAACAUCUUCACAAGAGUGGCAGGCAGUUGAAUCUCUGGCCUUCGUGGGACCACUGGACAUCUGGCAGAGAACCAGGAAACCACGGUUCCCUUCUGUGAGUCCCUCAGCCGGAAAACUACAAGCUCCUCAUGCAGCUGCUGUCUACAGACCCCCUGGACUGCCUGGGGAAGUGAGUCGGAGCUCCUGCAGCAGAGGGGUGGAACAGCUACACGAAGAUCCGAAGGUGGCCAAAAAUAACAGCGCUUUCCAGAUGAGGGAGCCAGUUGUCCAGCACAGUGUCAUGGGACAGUGGGCCCUGGUGCCACAAUGCCCGGCAUCUCCACCAGAUACAGCUUUGAGAUCUUCAUGAUGAAGCUUGCUCCAAUCCAAGGGCUGUCAGGUGGGGUUUGCGGUUCAGCUGCUAACCUUUCUUUGAUCCAAAUCCUGUCUUCACUGGCUUCAAGAAUCCUGUCUUCACUGGCUUCAAAACUGGGAUGAAGGAGGCUCCUUAGUGGAGAGCAAAGCAAAGAGAAACUCAAAUUGGAUCCAUAUUAAAGAAGAGAAGGAUGGAUUUGUUUAGACAACACAAACCUAGGAAGGGUUUGAGAGGUGAAACAAACUGGGUUAUGGAUGAACGGGGGCAAUUGGAAUGUAGAAUUGAAGCAGUAAUUAACAUCUUGACCCAGUUUUGGUGACUUGGUCACUGCAGACCUUUCAGAAUGUGUGGUGCUCAUUCUUGUUAAACCAGUUGAGAAUUUCCCCAAUCCUUUGGCCCUGCGCACAAGUGUAGCUGCUCUUCCAAUCAAUGGGACCUUUGUAUGCAGCAGGGCGGAAGGAUAUUAUUAUGUGACAAAUGACCACAGGGAAACUCCCAUUAUUUUCCUUGUGUCUGAGAAAUUAUAAAUGUGUAAUAAGGAACACUUUGUAGUAACCCUUGUUAAUUUAUGAUUUUAAAUAUGAAUGUGAAUUUAUUGGAAUGACACAAUAAAGAGUCACCAUGGGCACCGAUUAUAAUUAUCACCAAGUACAAUGAAGCAGAGAAAGAAACUAUCUCGCUCCUAAAUGGCAUCAUCCAUAUAAGCCUUGCCUUGUUCAAAGCUACUCUGUAGUAUUUUCUUUUAAAUAAAAUAAAUAAGGCACAAAUAAACAACAUAACCUAAAGAGGAGAUGGAAUGGUCUAUUUCUUUUUGUUUUUUGGAAGCUAAAUUUUUGAGAUAACAUUAAAGAUAAAAAUCAGCAAGACACCUCUGGGCUACGAGAGGCUACUCUUAUGUCACAUGUCCAUUUAUCACCAUCAUCUUCUCUAUGUUCUCUUCCCUUCCCCCCACUUUCUCCUCCUCCUACUUCUUGAUUAGCCAGUCAGAUGUCUUAUUCUUCUGAAGGAAGUGAUUUGUUCAGAGAUGGGUACAUGAUACCAGGCUCUGCCAAUACAAGGCUUGCCUGAGACAUUGGUUGGAGAUGUAAAGAAAGAAGUAUGCUCACUUCUAGAAGAGCCACAUAUAAACCAUUAACUGCAGUGAAGAAAGCCUGAUGAAGGAUGCCAAUGGAGAAGGAAGCAGAGCAGCACAGAGCAGGAGCAAUAGUUAGAUGCGCAUGAUGACAUUACUUGAGUACCUGGAUCCAGCCACACCUGAAAACUGAACUCUCUAAACUCCUCACUUAUUGGAACUAAUAUGUUUCUCCUUUUUGGUUUUAGUUGGUUUCAGUUGACUUUUUACUCAUGGCAAACCAAAGAUUUUUUUUUUUUUUUUUGAGACACAGUCUCAUUUUAUCACCCAAGCUGGAGUGCAGUGGCGCAAUCUUGGCUCACUGCAACCUCCACCUCCCGGGCUCAAGCAAUUCUCCUGUCUCCACCUCCCAGGCAGCUGGAAUUGCAGGCAUGCACUACCACGCCCAGUUAUUAUUAUUAUUAUUAUUAUUAUUAUUAUUAUUAUUUGUAUUUUUAGUAGAGAUGGGGUUUCAUGAUGUUGGCCAGGCUGGUCUCGAACUCCUGACCUCAGGUGAUCCACCUGCCUCGGCCUCCCAAAGUGCUGGGAUUACAGGUGUGAGCUGCUGCACCCAGCCAGCAAACCAAAGAUUUCUGAGUAACACACCAAGUAAGAAAGGCAAACACUGCCACACUGGGAAGCACACACUCAUUUAUUAAACAUUUAGCAUGUCUUACUCUAGAACAGGAAGAGCAUUUGUACAGAUCAUAUGACUCAUUUGAAUCAAUUUCAAACAAAGAGAACAAGUCUGUGCGUUAGUUCAAAGAUGCCUGCCAUAUCUUUGGGUAUCUAAAUAAGUUCGCAUGUGUGCUUUUACUUUAAUAACCAAAAAGAAAUGUGGCCAUAGGUUGGGUUACCUGGAUCAUAUAUUCUAACUAGACAGUAAUUCAUAAAUUCUGUGCCAGCAGUUUCAUUUGUGACUACAGUUGCGUGAAGUCAUGAAGAACUACUUUAAUAGUCAUAAGGUGAUGAGCUGUAUGACCUAAGGCAAUUUACUUAACUUCUUUGUACUGUCAGUGUUUAUCUGUCAAGUGGCAAUAAUAAGAGUAUCUACUUCAACCAAACUUCCACCAAUUCUUCUGAGUAAUAAAUAAGCAAAUAUAUGUUAAGUGCUUAGAAUGGUGGCUGGCACACUCACUCAGUAAAUAAUAGCUAUUGUUAUUCAUUAUCACCACCACCAUCAACUUCAUGUAGGAAGCUUCACAAGCAGUUUGAAUAACUUGCAAAUAUGCAGAACUUUAUUUACCACUUACAAAGUACUUUUGCCUGCAUCAUCCAAUUUGAAACAGUAAAUCUAUGCUGCCACACAAUAUGCGUUUUACAGUUUGCCUUCUUGCAAUUGAAAAGAGCAGUUUUUUUCAAAUAUUUACAUAAUAUUUUGCAAGAUGCACUGAAUCUCGUAUCACAUAUGAAUGACUGAGGAACACUUUUUUUUUUUUCCUGCAGAAGAGUUAAACAAAAACAUUUAAAAUACAAAUGUGGACUGGUUCUGGAUAUCUUUUACCAAGAUUGGAAAUUUAACUGCUUAAUAAAACUUUGGUUAUACCUGUUAUAUUUGUCAACAGACCUAAUCAUGGGAAAUAAAAUGUUACUUUGUUAAGAGUUACUUUAUCUUUUCCUUAAUAUAUCACUGAUAUCAAAAAGAAAAGGGUGAAGCAAAUUCAUACUUUCAUGUCAUUGGUCAUUUAAAAUAUUUUUAAAGUUGGACCUCCUGAAAGACUUAGUGUGUUUCAUGUCACCAACGUAAGCAGAUUGUUGAAUUUGACACAUCUAAAAGUUUUCUUUGUUUAUGGAAUUUUCUCACAAAGACCUGCUUUCAAAAUGCUAAAAUAUUCAUUCAUACUAAGAGUUUUGUUGUUGUUGUUGUUGUUGUUGUUUUGUUGUUUUCCCCCACACGAAGAAGCUUUGAAUUAACUGGGUAAAAUUUUUCAAUAGUCUUUUUUCUUUUUUUUGAGAUGGAGUCUCGCUCUGUCUCCAGGCUGGAGUACAGUGGCGCCAUCUCGGCUCACUGCAACCUCUGCCUCCUGGGUUCAAGCGAUUCUCCUGCCUCAGCCUCCCGAGGGGCUGGGACUACAGGCGAGUGCCCCCAUGCCCAGCUAAUUUUUGUACUUUUAGUAGAGACGGGGUUUCACCAUGUUGGCCAGAAUGGUCUCGAUCUCUUGACCUCGUGAUCUGCCCGCCUCGGCCUCCCAAAGUGCUGGGAUUACAGGCGUGAGCCACUGCGUCCAGCCCUCAAUAGUCUUGUUUAAGGAGAUGAUACAAUUUUAUUCUUGUAUCAAUUUCUAGAAUUCAUCAAAGUUUGCUAGUAAUUCUUUUAUUUUGGACCUUGAUGGUAUUUUAUCCAAUUCAGGGAAAACACACCUGCUUUAAUAACUGCUAAGGGGACAAGGAUGGUGUGGGAGGAAAGAUUUAUAUAACUAGUUUUACAAGUGUAAAUUUUAAUAAUUUCUUGUAUAGCAAAACAAAAACCAAAAAGCAUAUACAAUAAAACUUUCUUUGGUAUUUAGAUGGUAUUUUUCUUGUCAGAGCUUUGGCCAGAAGCUAGAAGAAACAAUUGAGUUCUGAAUUGUUCUCCUCUGUUUAGGCUACCGUGUUACUAAAAGGCUUCUGAUAUUGCAACUUUUUUUUUUUUAUAGUUAGUAAGUGUUCCUCGCUUGUAUCCUUGAUGGACUAAUCUAUUCCCCACCUAGAGAGUUUGAGUUAUUUUCUCAAGAGUAGUUAGUUGUAUUUUCUUCAUUGUGUAUCACAAGGUAAAUGCUAAAUUCUAGACAUAUAUUGACACUCACAAUUAUGGACACCAAUCAUUUUGUGAAGGUAAGCCAUACUUUUUAGGUUUUAUGAAUACUGAAUGCAUUUUAAAAGACAGCCAGAUUCUCCCAGUGUUUACACAAUGGGACUAAAUGAGUGUUAAUAACUUAGGUCUCUUAGAAGCUGUAUGAAGAUAUGCUAACAAAAUUCUUUGCUAAUACACAGAAGAGAUAUGCCAGUGUUGGUGGUGUGUCUGUCCUAGAGAAAGGAACCCUAGGGACAGGCUUUCUUAUUCAGCUUCAUAUCAUCAAUGAGCAUUUCAGGGACCUUAGUGCUAAGUGUUCUUGAAGUGAUGCUCAAAUUUUAAAUUUAAACUUCGCAAAUUUUAUGCACAUAUUUUAGGUGAGUAAUGCAAGUUCAAUCCAACACUCCAUACACAAAGGGCACCUGGAUAUUCCUAGGUCUCAGUUAUGGGAAUACAUGAAGUCAAAUGAACAUUCAUAGCUCUUGAGAUCCUUCCAUGGCCCCAACAAGACCACCUGUCAUGGCUGGUCCCUUCUUUUGCUUCAUCUGGGCUCCACUGGGCCCAGCAGUUCUCCACUGUUGUUCCUGGAGGAGUCAGAGUGGCUGUGAAGUCUGUGGUGAAGUGUGUGGGGCAGAUCCCUCUGUCUGUGUGUCUCACUUCAUCACUUUAGCCUGUAGGCAGUACAGUUUGGACCUGAGUCUCAUAAUGGCUUUUGUGAAAGAGCGCAUCAGACUGAGUUUCUGGCACCAUCUGGGAAACACACAGCAUUCUCUUCCAUCUUGGCUUCCCAUGUCUUCCCAGAACCUUGUGUUCCAAAGUUCUUUUUAGUCCAGACCCUCAGCAGUGUUGGACAUAAAUUCACGCAGAUACGUGUUUUGGGGAUAGCAGGGUAGGAAGUUUGUAGCCCCAUAAGUCUUAGCACAUGCCACACUACUAUUAAUAUGUUUCCUUUUGACGGAUGGCUCAGGCAUAGAGUGACAAUUUGAUCUCAGAAUAUAAAUAGACCCAGAGGUUUUAUAAAAAGCUUCUUUUGUGAUUUUGUGGUGAUGACUGUAUUGGACUUUUAAUAAAUUUACCACCUAUAGAUGAUGGCUGUAGAUACAGACACCAACACAAAGAGUGAAUAAGAAUUAAAGGAAAUCUGUGAAAGAUCAAAAUAACAAGGAGAUCAUCAUGGUAUUUUUCCGGGGUGGUUCAGAUAUUGGAGAGGCAUGGGAGUGUUCAGUAGUCAGUGACUUCUGCAUGAUAUUUGCAUAGAGAGAACUUUAAAAAGGUUGCAUUUCUUUUCUGCUUUCAUAUUUACUUUGGGUUAAGGUUAUAGGAUCUCCUUGGCAAUGUUGCUGAUGCUAUUUUUGUAAACCCCAAAUCAGUGUUCAAAUGUGGUGGGAUGGAAAUUUUGAGCUACAGCAAUAAUAAAUACAUUUUAUGUCCCCGUAACAUUCAAGCUGUAGUAUGUCUAAGAGUCAGUGAAAGUUGUUUCCUGCCUUGAACUCUGAAGUAAGAAAGAAACUUUUGUUUAUAAAUGUUAGAGAUUUUGUUUUUGCAUUUACCGCAAAGUUAAGUGCAGAUAUAAUCUAAUCAGUUUUGGCAAAAUAUCAAGCGUGCUUGUUUGUUUGAUAAGGGAGGGAAACCCCCAACUUUUCAUGAGCGCAAGUCCUUUACCUGUGUUGAAGAUACAUGACUUCUGUCCAUAAAGUCUUCGAUCUUGUGGACUCAUACAGAAAACACGGGUCCUGUACAGGAAAUAAGAGGCAGACAUGUACUCCAGAACAUCUUUCUCAUCCAUUUUAAUAAUGUCUGGUUUUGAAUUUAUAGGAUUUCAUAUAAAGGACCCCAUUUAUAAGUUUUUUAUUCUUCUCCUCUAAAGAUGUAAAACUUUAUAUGCUGAUUCGAGUGAAAUUGAGAGUAGUCAAUAUCAAUCAAACAAAGAUUAUUUAAUAUGCACUUUAGCAUAUUCUAUAUUGGAUUUCUUCACGAGAAUAUUUGAUAAGAGAACAGGUGUGUGUGUGUGUGUUUCUAUAUCUAUCUUUCUAUGUUUUUCAACUCACCAUGCUUCUACACUAUAAUCUCCUUGAAGGGCAGGGCCAUGUGGUAUUCAUUUUGUUAACCUUGUAACACCUAGUGGGACACUCUCAAGACAUGAAAACCAGUUUAUAAUUGUAUCAACUUUACAUUCUGGAAGAUGCCUGUCAGUGGCCUUUUAUGUACCUUGCACCCAUCUGGUGGGGUGGAUUGGGCAAGCCUUACAGUCCUUAUUUUAUAGAAGAUGAAUUUGAAUUUCAGAGAGAGUGAGUGAUUUACAAUUCCGGGCAUGUCUUUCACCCCAUCCAUUUCUUGUGGCCCAUCUCUGGACACUUUAUGUUGAGGGAAAGGAGCAUUACCCUGCAAGCCUGGCAGGAAGAAGGGCUGCUGACAAAUGGUGUGUUUGAAUUUAUGGGUUGGGCUAGUGACAGUUGACAGAGCCUUCCUAUAGAGACACAGGAUUCUCCAUCACCACUGGCACUUUGCCCCUAGGACCACAAUGAGUAUCAAACCACAUUUAAGACAACCGUGAACAAAUUUCAGUGGGAUUGGCAAUGAGAUUUCCAAAUGGACAGAUCUUCUGCCUGAAGGUGGUCAUCAGCAUGUCUAUAGUGUAUAGAGUUCUCUGCUAAAUCCACAGCUUCUGCUUCACCUAACUUUUUUUUUAACCUGGUUUUGUUCAUUGCAGAUAGAGUUCUCUCUCUGAUAGCCAGGAAGUUGUAUUGAGAAGGGAUCAGCCACAACAAGCUUGACUCACUGGGCACAUGUUACCUUUUGUUUUUUGUUCAGCACCUCUUUAUAUAACAAAACUGUCUAAUCUCUCAAAGUCGUAAAAGGUUAACAUUUAACUAAGUCCUGCAUGUCAUUCUGGGAUGGACAUCAUGACAGUUUGGCAUGUCCUUUGGCAUUGUGUUUGUGCUGAUACAUUUCCAUUCAAUUUACAAACGUUUCAUUGAAUGCAUACCACAUGCCAGGUGAUAGUGCUGCUGCUGGGGAGAAGGUGGGAAAUGAGGCAUACACAAUCCCUGCCCUCACAGAACCUAGUGGGGACAGAUGAGAAGAAAGGAAUGCCAGUGGAAUUAGUGUGAUGAAAGAACAAUCCCAUGAGAUAGGAAUAGCUUUUUUAGAGCGCUAGGCAUUCUGAAACUUUCUGGUUAUCUCAGAUCUCAGAUUGCUUAAGCUUCUUCAUGCCCUUACAGGUAGGCUCCGGUCUUAGUAGCUCUGAAAUAUUGUGAAAGUUUCGUGACCUCUUGGGACCAUAGUUUUAUCAUCUGUGAAACAUAGACAUUAAAGUGGAGGACUUUAAAAGCUUUUGCAAUCCUAAAGUAUCAUUGUUGUAUUAUUGCAAUAGCUAACAUUGAUCAAAGUCUGACAAGGUGCCAGGCACUGGACAGGGAGCUCUUAUAAGCAUUGUUUAAUUUAUUAAGUGAUUUUUGUGGAUCUUUUUGUAUAAACCUGGAUACAAGCAGCCUAAGGAGGGACAUGGCAGGUACUCUGGUGAAAUCCAGAUAACCAUCAAGGGAGCAGGUGGCUUUGUCUAGAUCUCUUUCCCAAUUUAGAUGUUUUAUAUACUUUUCAGGGGAACUUGCAUCACAUCUGUACACACCUAUGUUAUAUUUAUAUAAUAUUUGCAUGUGAACUCUUUGUUCUAUUUAAAAAUGAUCAAUUUGAUGCCUCAAAAGUUUUUUUAAAAGCAUAAAACUCUAAUGACAAAAAAGCAGUUUUCAAAGCAAAAUGAAGUCCUCCCAUUUGGUAUAGUCAUUUAUUUUAAAAGACAGGUACAUUUUAAAUGCCCCCUAUCCAGCUGUGUUCAUCUAUGUCUCCUUUUGUAGAGUUAUUUAAGUCUUUUUGGAAUUGCCUUGUGUCAUUUUCAAAUGUUCUUGAAUUUAAUGUCUGCACGACAUUCUUAGGCAGACUUAGUCCUCAGCUACCUGCCAGGGAUGAGUUCACAUUCCUUUCAAUAAUGAGAAAGCAGGAAAAUGGACAACACAUUUGCAAUAGGCUCAAAAACACCUGCCAGGGGAAAGAGAUGAGCUGUUUGAUGUCCCAUGUCCCACCGACCUGGCAACUCUGUUAACUAACAGUGAUGAUGAAGAAGAUGGUGGCAGUGGUGGUGGUGAUGACAGGUGCGAAUGUGGACUGAGCCACUCAGGAACUUGGAAAAUUAUUUGCAUAGCUAUUUCAUUCAAUCCUCAUAACAACAAACUGAAGUAGACGUGAAUAUGUCCAUUUUACAGGGAUGAAACUGAGUCUCAAUAUUUGUAACCACCUUGCUCUAGGUUACUCUAGGUUACUGGACAAGGUGGGAUUUGAACCCAGGUCAAUCUAAUUCCAGAUCUCAGGCCUUGAGCUUCUACAUGACACUAGUUUAAUCCCUUCUUGCCAAGAAUUCUUUCUAAGAGAUAAGGCAAAUCUGCUGUACUAUCUUUAAUUCUAUAAUGAUAUGAAUAGAGCUAUUAUUAUUUUAAUAUUAUCAAUUAGUAACUUAGAAAUUCUCCCAAAGAGUCAAACAAUUGGAAAAAGUACAAUGUGGCACAAACCUCACAAACUUUUAGCAGUUCAUUAUUUGGUCCAUGGGUGGGAAGGCAGCAUGGCACAGAGGAAAAAGCCAGGACAUGGGCUAGGCUGGGCUGGGCUGGGCUGGGCUGGGUUAGAGACCUGGGCCCAUACUGCUGACUACAUGGACCUGGCCCAUCUCUAACCCCUCUAAGUCCUAAUUUCCUCACCUACAAGGAGUGGCUAAAAUGUCUUUGUUGAAAGAAUGUUAGAUUGAUUGCAAAUCAUAAAUUAAAUGUGUCUGGGCAGUGUCUGGCAACGCAAGUGCUAUGUGGUUCCUACUAGAUAAAUGGUAGAAAAGCUCUUGGCACAAACCGCCCAAGCCUGUCAUGCUCCUGGGAUAAGACUACCUUCAAGCCCUGCCUGAUUUCAUUCCUGUCCAUGUCACCAGCCCCAUCUUUAGCCAUUUUCCUUUUCAUUGAUUUUUUUCUCAUUUCUCAUGUGGGACAGUGUCACCCUUCCACCCCAGGGUCUUUGAAUAUGCCAUUUCCUUGGCUGAAAAAUAAUCUUUCACCCUUGUAUGAAUGCACUGUUCUGUCUUGUCCUUGAGAUCUCAGCUCAAAUGUCACUUCCCCAGGGGAGUCUUUUCUGAAGCCCCAAAGCAUCAGGCCCCCCUUAUAGAUUCCCAGGGUGCUUUCCGAUUUGGGAUACCCUUCCCAGUGGUAAUUAAGUACUUAAUUCACCAUUAAUUGUUUAAUGUCUGUCUCCAUCACCAGCAUUGACCUCCAACAGGGCAGAGGCUGCAUCUGCCAUAUUUAUUCUCUCUCCCCAGAUCCUGGCAUGGGGCGUCGCUCCUAGUUGGUGCUUGAUGAAUAUUCAUUGAAUGAAUGAAUAAAUGAGCUGAUGAAUAAAGGAUUGCCUUAUUUCAAGGAUCCCCCUUUACACUUUCUAACCUGUUUUUACUAAAAGAAGACCACUUGAUGUGAGCCAGGAAGACUUUUACCAAAAGUUUUUGCCAAAAGCUGUGCCCUUUUUACCCCUGAUGAGAGCAGAACUUCCUGGGGGACCAUUUGUUACCUGUGGCGCAGAAGCCUUGUGUACCAAAUGAGCUGCAUCCACUCCGACCAGAGCGAUACACUGGAUGAUAAAAAGAUAUCACCUCCCUGAAACAGAUGCUUCAUUUUAUGAUAGAAACAGAGACGCUGAAGCCUGCAGGUGCCGGGCUGACACGCGCUCUGCAGAGAAUCAUUAGAGCCUCCUUAGAGAACUGGGUUUACUCUGUGUUUAAUCAGCCCCAGGCAGAAGAAAUGGCUUCAUUUCAGCUCGACGAGAGCCAGAUCACAAAAGGAAGAUAGAUGGCCAAUACGGCUCAUCACUAUAAGCAUAUUGUCUUAAUUUGAAGGAACAGCCUGGCACCCGUGCUAAUCAGGAAAGAAAGUGCAAUAUGGCUAGCACUGAAGGCCAGUCAGUUUAACUCUCAGUGUACCCCUUAAGGAGAAGCUCUCAUUUAUUUUCUUAAUUAAUAUUUUAAGGGAAGUGAGAAUCACAAAACACAUUACUCAAUCACUUAAGAAGUUCCUUGGCUUAGAAUUAAAGAUGCUCCAGGAAAGACUUUUUAUACCUGAAAACUGUGAAUCUCUACCUAGAAAAAAGUCUUAAAGCCGGUGAAUAAAGUGGCUUAGGAAGGUAAGGUCUAUUAAUUUGCUGGCUGCUUUUAAUAUUGGUCACGUUUGGCAGUUGAUCCAGAAAUAGCUACAAAUAGAGACGACAUCAGAUCUAUUGUGUGGAAACUUGCUGGUCUCUUGUAGGCUCUUGUUUUUCAUGGCUCAGUCCUGUGCUUGUUCUUCACCACCCUCAGCUUUAUUGAGGUGUAAUUGACAAAUAAGGAUUAUAUAUUUAGGCUGGACAUGGCAGCUCAUGCCUGUAAUCCCAGCAUUCUGGGAGCUGAGGCGGGUGGAUUGCUUGAGCCCAGGAGUUCGAGACCAGCCUGUGCAACAUGGCAAAACCCUGUCUCUACAAAAACACAAAAAUUAGCCAGGUGUAGUGGCAGCUACUGGGGAGGUUUAGGUGGGAGAUCACUUGAGCCCGGGAGGCUAAGGUUGCAGUGAACUGAGAUUGAGCCAAUGCACUCCAGCCUAGGCCACAGAGCCAGACCCUGUCUCAAAAAAAAAAAAAAGGUUAUAACUUUAAGGCAUGCAAUGUGGGGUUUUGAUAUACCUUGUAAAAUGAUGACCACAAUCAUGCUAGUUAACAUGUCCAUCAUGUCACAUCAUUACCUUUCUCUCCCUUGUGGUCAAAACAUUUAAGAUCUACUCUCUUAGCAGGCCAGGCACAGUGCCUCACGCCUGUAAUCCCAACAUUUUGGGAGGCCAAGUCAAGUGGAUUACUUGAGGUCAGGAGUUAGAGACCAGCCUGGCCAACAUGGUGAAACCCCGUCUCUACUAAAAAUACAAAAAUUAGCCCGGUGUGGUGGUGUGCUUCUGUCGUCCCAGCCACUCGGCAGGCUGAGGCAGGAGAAUCGCUUGAACCUGGGAGGUGGAGGUUGCAGUGAGUGGAACCUCUGCAUUCCAGCCUGGGCGAUAGAGCAAUAUUGUAUCAAAAGCAAACAAACAAACAAACAAACAAACAAACAAAAAACUACUCUCCUUGCAAACUGCAAGUAUACAAUACAUUAUUAUUAACUAAGUUACUUUCUGUACAUUAGAUCUCCAAAAUUUAUUCACUCUGCAUAACUGAAAUAUUGCACCCUUUCACUAACUCGCCCGCGUCCCUCCUCACGCGCUUCCCCUGACAACCAUCAUUGUACCCUCUUCAUCUGCGUGCUUUUGCCCCUCUAGAACUUGCCUUGGUUAGGACUGCAAAAUGGAUAUUCAGUUCAGUCGCUCUUAGCUUCUCGAUUGCCCCAAAAUGCCAGAAAAGGGAUUUUAAGCUUGUGAGGAGCAAUAAUACAUAUCUGAACUCAGCAUCCUUGCCAAACCUCUCUUAUUUGAAGUAAAAGCAGAUAAUGAGUAGUGUGGGUACUUACAAACAAGUGGAUGUUUUAGAAUCAUUUGGUAUGUGUCACAUCCAUGUUUUCAUUAUAUCCCCUGAGCCUUAGCACAAAGAGCUUUAACAGCCCUUCCACCCCAGCGACUGUUUUCCAGAUGUUCUGAAACAACAUCAAGUGACCCACUUUACCCCUGAGAGAUACAUAAAGGUGCAUUUAUGGAGAGACUGGAUGAGUGAGGCUGAGACAUUCGCUCAGCAGCUUAGUCCUAGAUAAUCUCCCAUGAACGCAGUAUCGAAUCUUACUUUUUACCUAAGGCACAUUGAGUACGGUUUCUAGAAAAUGAUAUGCGAAACACUGCUAAAGUGAAGAAGAAACUUAAGAAGCUUAGCAACGGAUGUAGAAAUAUUAUCAUCAGCUAUCAGGGUAAUAGUAUCCAGUCAUUUUCCACCUACAGGCACAAGAUUUAGGCUUAAGCAGCUGAAGACAACACAGAAAGUGUGCAGUCUUAGAGUGUUUAAAUAUCGGCACGUCAAGGGGAAGGACUUUAAAACCUGGACAAGUGUCAUUUGAUUUUUGUGCUGGAUAGGAUGAAAGCAAAAUCACAAUUGCAGAACUGAAAAUACCCAAGAGGCACGCCAAGGUUCAUUGAGAAGCCAUACCAUGGAAACAAGAGAAAUCAUCAUUUGUAGAUAGGAGAUUGUUUCAUUCUUUGCACAUGGGCAGCAAAUACCAGAGCAGUCUCUGGGAUCAGAACCCAGCUCUUUGCCUCUGUAAGGGAGAUGAGCCAUUUCUCAAGGACCAACAAUAUGUUGCCUUAUAUUCAGUCAUAGGGGAAGAGCUACUGAUUCCUUCCAAACAUGGGCAUCAGGCCACAUGUCAAAAUCUGGCAAGAAGGUGGGAGAAUUCUUCCAUAGCACAUCUGUUUGUGUAGAUGACAUUGAGUGAAAAAGGUGCCCCCUCCCCAACUCCCAAAGUAAGCAACAUGCCAAAAUCUUGACGUGAAAUGUACUUAAUUUUCUACAGUAUGUCAAUCACCCAAUGUCUGCUGUGCAAAAUGAACAACCUUCUGGCGUGACUUCCAUUGCCACUGGCACAGAACUCACUGCAGUCAUCCCGUUGAGGUACUUUAUGCAUGAAAGGGAAAGUGAGCCCACGUGAGGGGGGUCGGACAGCUCUCAGAAUGCCUGCUAGUGGCCUGCUGUUUAGCAACCAUUUACAUGGGACCAACUAAUGGAUGACAGUCCUAUUGCUGAGUUCAGAAAUAGACACCCUCUCAUAUCUUGGGAGGCUGGGAAGUCUUGCUUGGCACUGACAUGUUGGUCUAACUUAAACUUUGGUGAAGAAGUACAACUCUGACUGCAUGACAAGGUGGAUGCCCACUUGAGAUAAAAUGAACUACUUUUUGCUUUGAAAAUCUGUGGUCUGGAACAUCCAAGAUUGAUCAUUUUGAGUCAAUUGCCAUUGCUGGUGCUUUUCUGAUUCCUGCCGCUGAUUUGUUCAUAGUUAGAAACAUGAGUUAAAUUACCCUUAUCUUAACAUCCUUAACCAUCAAUGUUGUUAUUGGUCAUAAAAUUAGGCACUUCCUGUCAUUUCAAAUCCACUGACAGUUUUGGGUGGUUUGAGUUGAGUGGGUUGGACAAGGGGAAAUAGGUGAUUUCCGCUGCUUCUUGUGGAGUUAAUCUCUCAUCCAGAUACUGCUAAAGCAUCUCUUUCAACGGCAGUCUUUAUUCUUAGUUUAGCAGCAUCAGUGUAAACAACAAGUUUCUUUAGAAUGCUCCAACUCAAAGUCCAAAUGACAGAUGAUUUCCCAGUCCUGAAGAAGUCAUUUAAGCACUUGUAUUUCUUUUCUUUUGUUUUUUUUUUUGUUGAGAUGGAGUCUCACCCUGUCGCCCAAGCUGGAGUUUAGUGGCAUGAUUUCAGCUCACUGCAACCUCUGCCUCCCGGGUUCAAGCGAUUCCCCUGCCUCAGCCUCCUGAGUAACUGAGAUUACAGGCACCCACCAUGAAGCCCAGCAAAUUUUUUGUAUUUUUAGUAGAGACAAGCUUUCACCAUGUUGGUCAGGCUGGUCUCGAACUGACCUCAAGUGAUCCACCAGCCUCGGCCUCCCAAAGUUCUGUGACUACAGGCAUGAGCCACCGCACCCAGCCUCACUUAUAUUUCUUUCAGCAAUUUAUUCCAGUUUGAACAAGACAGUCAAUUUCUCAUUUAAAUAUGGAGCAAGCAGGUUAUGUGUGUGGAAACAAAAAUAUCUGGCAACCAUUCAAGGUUUGGAUGAAAAGAAGGAUGUGGAAACAUGUUACAGCUAGAAAUGAUUACUUUAUUGUAACUGCCAUUUGAUAUCUGGGGGCUUCUCUCUUCUCUGCACAAAUCUCUGUUCUUAAAAGUCCUUUUGGGGAAGCUCCGGGCUCCCCACACCAUCCCCUCCUCCACCAAAUAGCUGCUGGGCUGCUCACAUGGUCAAGCUGGCCUUGAAUCUAGAAAGUAUUUGCAGCUUCAUCUAUGUCGGCAAGUUUUCCUUUCCCCUAAGUAAAACACUUGUUUCAGCUCACAUGUUUUGUUCAGUGUGAAAUAUCUUAGCUGCUAAAAUGUCACUUCUGUGGCAAAUAUUUCCUCAAGGAAACAUUUGUAAAUAUCUUCAAAAAGAAGGACUCAUCCCUUACACCAACAAAAAUAUAGCCAAGUCAGCACAUGUGUUUCUAAAAUCCUCCUUCCUUUAUAAAAGUCAGGCUUUUUCCUACUAACUGAUCAGCAGGAAGAAGUAUAUAUAUAUGUCCAUGUCCUCCAUGUACUUGACCUACUGAGGCUCAGAGGGGCUAAAACACCUUUGAGUAUAGCAUUGAUCUUAGCAAUCUUGUAAUGGGGUGUAUUAGUCUGUUUUCACACUGCUGAUAAAGAUACACCUGAGACUGGGUAAUUUACAAAGAAAAAGAGGUUUAAUGGACUCACAGUUCUAUGUGGCUGGGGAGGCCUCACAAUCAUGGUGGAAGGUGAAAGGGACAUCUUAUAUGGCGGCAGGCAAGAGAGGGAAUGAGAACCAAGUGAAAGGGGUUUCCCCUUAUGAAACCCUCAGAUUUCUUGAGACUUAUUCACUACCACAAGAACAGUAUGGGGGACACUGCCCCAGUGAUCAAUUACCUCCCACCAGGUCCCUCCCACAACAUGUGGGAAUUAUGGGAGCUACAAUUCAAGACUAGAUUUGGGUGAGGACACAGGCAAACAAUUUCACAGGGUUUCCAACUGGCAGGUUUUUGGAAAACUGAGACCAGCCACUUGUAUGGGUGCCUCUCAAGGGAUCAAUGAGAACAGGAAGUGAUCAAUGCUCUCUCAUACUCAUAGCAUGUCUGGGACUCUGAGUGCCCAGAAUUCUGCCCCAUGUAGAAUAGAACCUUGCUAAAGGUUGAGCCCACCCUAAAUCUAGAGGAAUCACCGCUGCACAGAAAACUUCUAUCAACUCCUUUCUGUGCUGUGUGAACAUAAGACUCAUCUCAGUGUAAUGUUGUGAGAAAAUUCAUGCUCCAUCACUAAGAAACAGCUGUGUGUUGCCACAGUCAUUAACUUUUGAAAGAUGUUAAAGGCAGGUAUUUGUUUGAAGCCAGUCACUUCAGACAGAGCUUCCCCUUCAGGUUUCCUUCUGGUUCUCUAAGUGUUACCUUGCUUCUCUGAUACAAGUAGGGGAAACCAGCACCAGAAAUUUAUGGCUUCUAUUAAGAGGGUUGGCUGGACGUGUGGACAAUAUGUCAAUAAUUAUUUCUGGUGGGGAUCUAACAGCAGAGGAAGUGUCUUUGUAGAAUAGCUUAUUUUAACAGAAGACAGAUCUGCCUGACCUGGGUUUUAUGACAGAUGUCAAAUAUAUCGAAGUGUGUUGUGAAGCAGAUUGCCUUAUUGGCAAAGAAAUGAAAGACCACCAGGAAGAUGUAUGGGAAACUUUCCUUGAGGGGUUUCGUGCCUCUUGGUGCAGGUGCGGCAGUAAACCUGGAGAAAGGCCAGUGGGAAGGUGAGAGUGGAGACUGUGGGGAGCAGUUUGAACUUCUGCCUAUCCAUGAGACUUGGAAACAAAAGACCCUAAGCCCCAGAGGGUUGAUGGAAAAUGGGGUGGAAGAAAGGGAGAGCAGGGCAGCUCACAUGAGAGCAGUUAAGGGACAAGGGUAAAGCAAGUGAGGCCACCCGAGAGAGAGCACCCCCUCACUUGUCUCAUCUGAGGUGCCUGCUCAAGAAUGGGUUGUUCUCCAACUUUCCUUCUUGAGUUCAGUUCAACAAGUAUCAGUGCCCUGUGCCAAGAGCUGAGCUGGGCAUUAGAGAAGAAUGCUGAAUACACAGGCUCCCUACUCCAGUCCCCAUUUUCCUUCCUCUGGAAAGAAACCACUUUAGUGUCCAGGGAGGACAUGGUGUCCUGGGGUCACUUAUUAGCUGCUGGGUAGCCUGAGGCAAGUGUGUUCAUGUCUCUGAGCCUCAUUUCCCUGAACUGGACAAAGGAGCUCAGGACCUGCCCCAUAGAGUUGAGGAUUGAGAAGGACAGUGCCCUUGUACUUGACCCAUAGUAGGUAUGGGAAAGAAGGUUUAGGAGCCCAUCUGUUCUGAGUUUGUCCAACGCACAGUGCUUCAUAGGGCUCCUCCAGUUCUCAUUUACUCUCUACAAUAUGGGAAGUACAUUUCAUGAUUUUGAUUAAAAAUGAGGAGGCAGAAGGGAUGGUAAAGAGAAUCACUCUCUGAUUUGUGGCACUACUCACAAUAGCAAAGACUUGGAACCAACCCAAAUGUCCAACAAUGAUAGACUGGGUGAAGAAAAUGUGGCACAUAUGCACCAUGGAAUACUAUGCAGCCAUAAAAAAUGAUGAGUUCAUGUCCUUUGUAGGGACAUGGAUGAAGCUGGAAACCAUCAUUCUCAGCAAACUACCGCAAGGACAAAAAACCAAACACCACAUGUUCUCACUCAUAGGUGGGAAUUGAACAAUGAGAACACUUGGACACAGGAAAGGGAACAUCACACAGUGGGGCCACCAAAGUGUGGCCACCAAAAAGUUGGUCAGAUACAGAAACUAUAAAGGGAGUAGUGAGGAUCACUCAACUGUUUGCCUUUCGUCUCAAAAAGACGGAACUUCAGGUAAUUUAUGUGGCCCUUCACUGAAAUUAUCUUCCAUUAGAUUAUAAGCUCCUUGUAUUCUUAUUCCGUGAGCUUCCUUUGUCACAAAAGGUUAGCAGGAAACUGUGCCCCUUGAGACAGAUGGAUAACAAAAAAGCCACCCUUUCUCCAGGCUGCUGUAGUCAGUAAUGGUGGCUUCGGUGGGAGGACAACAUGGUGGUUUUCAGCUGCCCCUUCAACCGGGCUCCCAUGUCUGGGCACAAUCUACACCACUGUUUGUGGUGGCCCUGUGAGCCCUUAGCACAGCUAAGCCCGAAGUGCAUAGUCAGUAAAUGUUUUCCAACUCAAUUUAUUACAGUCACUGUUGUGCAGAAAAUGAUGGCAUUAUGUUUUCAAAGAGAUUACUUUAGUCAUUGGAAAAACAUAAUAGAGAAAUUAUGGGUAAAAUGUAAAAAGUCACUGCAACAGUAUUCUUUUGUGUUCUUAAAUGUUUCUUCUUUGAGUCCAUCAUGAGAAAGAAUACAGUAUUUCAUUCCUUCUGGCUUUGCUGGCUAUAAACCAUUAAGGGUUUUGUGUGUUUUUUAAGUGAUUGGAGGGCCCAUGGACUACAGUUAUGAGAAAAGCUUGGAGAAACUGAGGCAGGACAAAUAAUUAAAGAAGGAUAUUUAGACUGGACUCAGUGGUUCACACCUGUAAUCCCAGCACUUUGGGAGCCUGAGGUGGGAGGAUCACUUGAGGCCCGGAGUUCAAGACCAGCUUGGGCAACAUAGUGAGACCCUAUCUCUACAAAAAAUUUAAAAGGAUAUUUACAUUUUUACAUGUGUGGGAUUCCCCAGGAUUAGAUAAGGUAGCUGAAAUACAGAAACCAAGAAAAGCUCACAGAAAAUGUUAGCUGUGGUAUAGAAUAUUGGUUUGAACUAUUUUGCCUUCUUCUUAUUCUUUAAAGGUGGUCUCGAUGGUAAAAGUAAAAUCCUUAAUAAAUGGAAGAGCUGUACAGUCUUCUGUUUUGGACUUUUGUUUGUCCCAUUUUGUGGUAGUAUCAUAGGGAAAUCUUUAGAAUGCAGAUCUUGUUUACUUGCCACUUCUCCCCCUUGAUCUACUGGGCUUUUGACCACUUCACCUGCAAAGAGGAAACUCUCAGAAGGAGGUGGAAUGUAAGUUGUUUUCAUAGAUUUUACCCUCCAAACCAACUUCCAAAGUGAUUAACUGCUUUUUCUAAGAAGCAGAGAGUAGAAAUGUCCAUGCAGAAAAAAAAAACCAGCAGUAUCUGCUUUUAUGUUUAAAAAGUGGGGCUGGACAUGGAUGGUGGCUCAUGCCUGUAAUCCCAGCACUUUGGGAGGCCGAGGAGGGCAGAUCUCUUGAGCUCAGGAAUUCAAGACCAAUGUGGGCAACAUGGCGAAACCUUGUCUCUACCAAAAAUCCAAAAAUUUAUGGGGCAUGGUGGCAUGCACCUGUGGCCAGCUACUCAGGAGGCUGAGAUGGGAGGAUCUCUUGAGCUCGGGAGGCAGAGAGGUUGCAGUGAGCUGAGAUCACACCACUGCACCCCAGCCUGGGCAACAGAGCACGACCCCAUCUGAAAAAAGGAGGGUGAAGUGGGUAAAGUGCAAACUGAAAACAAGAAUUUCCCUGGAAAUGAAGCAACUGCCUUGAGUCAGAUGCUAGGGAUGAGAUUUGUCCCUCCUAAGGAGGGGUUGCUGAAGUCCUUCAUCUCUUAGCCUGGCUUGACAUAUGGAAGGAGAAAUGAUAUUCAAUUUGAAUCUAGAAAGUGUAGAAUCUGUCACUGGGCAGAACAAGGGCCACAUGGCUUUUCAACCACAGGACUAUUUCACAAAUUCAUGUUCUUUUCCCUUCAUUUUGACUCUUUUUUGGUCCCCUCUGCUCAUUUUAUUUCCCCUUGAGUUUGUAUUAAAUUCAUUACAUGCUCUUAAGGGAGAGAGGUUCUCAAGAGUGGGGAAGAUGCUACCAGUAAAAAAAAGUUGGCGGGGGGAAGAAGUCAGCCUUGGUGCAUUGAACUAAACUAUAGUUUAUCUCAAAUUAUUUCCCCCCUUUUGGAGAACAAUCUACUGUUCUCCUCGAAGAAGCUUAAAGUCUCAAAGGCCUUUAUUAACUUGAUCUUUGGGAAUAGUGUUUUAAUUUUUCCAUAAUCAUCAUGCAAAUUGAUCAUGAUAAUAUCUGGAAAGGAAAAUAAGUGAACCAAUGGCCUCAUUAACUCCAGUGCUAGGGAGACCCAUGUUCCUGAGAGCUGGUGCCUUUACCCCAUGGUGGCUCAGGACUUCAUUGUGUAUGACUUGGCCCAUACCCAGUGGGAGCUGUGGAACGUUCCCUGCCUGGCGUGUUUAAAUUGCCUCAUGCAUUUUACUCCCUUACAAAAUAAUAGGGGAAAGGUUCCAACCUUACAAAAGAAAUGUUUGCAUUCUACUCAGUUCUAAGCAGGAUCUCCGACUCUCCUAUAACAGAACCAUACCACUGAUGCAACAUGUCUUUUCCGGACUUUACCUUAAUGACAUUGAGGUCUCAAAUUGCUAGACCUUGGGUGAUAAUUGAGUCAGUCAGCAUUAAAAUGUAUGGCUCAGAUGCAUAACUCUGAAUGCUGUUCUGCUGAAUUAGGAGGCUUUUUAGAGUGUGUUUUAAUUUUAAUUUAACACUGACAAUGGCAAAGACAAAUAGAUCUGUCCAAAAUAUACUUAGUAACAGUUUUUUGAGUUGGUUAUUAAUUUUAUAUAAGUAGUUUCUCUUUUUAUUUUUAUACACUAUAAAAUUCAGUAGAAAUCAGAAUCAAAUGCAAUACACUUUUAUUGAUUGCCUGCUAUGUGUCAAACAAGGUGUUGAAUGUUUUCGAAUGCUGUCUCAUUUAUCCUCAUCUUACAGAUGAGGAAAAUGUGGUGUAAAGAGGUGAAAUAGCUUGCUAGCUGGAGAGGGGCAGAGUCAUUUACAGAUCUACCUCAUCAUUGACAAAUUUUGGAUGCAACGCUUUGAAAAUUAAUUUCUUCAGUGCUACGUACAGCUAAUAACUGUUUCUCAGUAGACCUUGUCCUAUCAGUGAGUAGAAAGGAAGUGCUUAUAAGCCUGGGGGCCACGGGGCACCAUAAACAUCUGGGCAUGGAUUGUCACUCAGUGGGUGUCCAGGACCAUACUUUGAGGCACACCAGUGUCUUUCACUGCCUCAUCAUAUCUGUGGCUGAAAAUGAUCUCUUCCUCUUUUGGAGACAAUUGCCUUCUAGGGAAGUACAGAUGCAGGAAGGUAUGCACAAAGCUGAUGUUGGAAAGCAAUCACCUAACAACCAGAUGGGUUAGCCAAAGGCAUCUGCCUCCUGAGACAGAGCAGGGCCACAUGCACAUCUCCCUCUGGAAAACCCCAUUUAUCUCAGCUGCAGUGAGAAAAGGGGUUAUAUGUUCUUUUAAUCACUUCUACCUCUCUGGAGAAAUUUUAUAUGAAUAUGCAUCAACACCAACUACCUGUAAGCUAUUAUGUUAGAAUACAAUAAACUAUACCUUCUACCAGCUUUGUUGAGUGUCUACUAAAUGCUGGGAAUUGUGCUAGGCGUUACAGUUCCAAAGACAAAAGGGCCUAAUAUUCUUGUAGGGAAGGUGGACUUACGAACAGACGCCUGCAAAAUUAAAGAGCUGAUGGGCAGCAAGCACCAAGAAUGACUUGAGGAAGGUGUUGGACAGGUAGUAACACUGGGGCUGGGACUUGAAGUUAUUAGUAAAAGUUCCUUGGAUGAAAAAGUUGGGGGAAAUGUAUCCUAUUUUGAAGGAACUUCCUACUUAACUUGGCAAAACAAGAGUAUGCUUUUGCCUUUUAAAUAGCAAUAAACAUGGUGUAAUUGGUUUAGGAAGGCUGUGCUCCAUGGAGAAGAGCUGGUACUACAUUUAAUUUAUCUUGUAGCAUAGUGUUUUCUCAAACUAUGCUUAGAAGAAUACUGGUUCCUCGAGGUGUUGAUUGGUGUUGUCUGGAAAUACAAGGAGCUUCUGAGGCCAAGUAAUGUGGCAAACACUGGGGUAGGCCAGUUACCUGGGGUUAACUUUCCGGCAGGACUUCUCAGAGUCUUUAAUAUGCUACUCUGCAUCAUAAAUUUUCAAGAGCUUGCCCUGUACCUAUUUGUCUUUCCCUUUUCAUAGUGCUCACAGGGUUUCAUGGAUCUCAGCAUAGAAAAGGCUGCUUUAGGGUAGAGGCAGCUGCCAGCAGUCUUUAGAAAGUGAGUGAUUUCUAUUUCAGAAAGGUAACACUGAGCACCUGGGAAGGAAAACGCCAAGGAUGAGAAACUAGACCCAAGGCAACCUAUAAUGAGGCUGUUAAAAUUUUCUAGGCACAAGAAAAUGAGGCUCAGAAUUAGGGCAGUGAAAAUGUGAGGGAAGAGAUAGAAUUGAGAGAUACUUAGGAGGUAGAAUGGAUACUCCAUAACCACAAGGAUGGUGAAUGAGAGAAUAAAAUAGUUGAAGGUGAAUCCCAAGUUUCUAGCUGGGAAGCUUGGACAGAGAAGUGUUGGGUAGAAGAUGAAAAACAAUUUAAUUUGGGACAUACGGAUAAAGAUGGUCAACUCAUAGCCAGCAACUGGUGAUACUAAUGAAGCAAGGUAUUUCCCUGACCUCUUCAUGGGUGGGAACUGGAGUGCAUGGGUGCUAGAACUAGCUGGCCACUUUGGUGCUGGCACGGGUGGACUCCACUCUCUUGGUCCUGCUGUGUUUCACCCCUUGUGGGAGCGGGGGGAGAACAGGUGAGUGGGUGCAGGAGCCAGGGAGAGUGCUUUUGGGCACUGGCAGGAGCUAAACUUUGUGCAGGCCCUUCAGCAGCAUCUAGGGGAGUGCCCACUACCUCUAAAGCUUCAGAAGGAGUGCCACAGUGCUCCUUUAGCUUUCCUGUCUGUGGAUCACUUAAGUGUUAACAGCUCAGUGGAGGGUCAGUGUGACAGCCUUUUGCACCUGCACUCGUGGCAUCUGAAUUCUUGUCUGGUAUCCUGUAGUAAUGAGGUCGCAUGAAUGAAUUGGUGAUGGUAAAUGUGGGGGAUUUUGUUGGUGAAAGUGGCUGGAAGGGGAGCUGAAAAGGGGAAAGAGCAGGAAGGUGAACUUCCCCUGGAGUCUGGUCAUCUCCAGCUGGACUCCUUCCAAGGCUACACUGUCAAGCUGUCCCUCUGAAGUCAAGCUGCUUCUCUCCAGUGUCCAACCAUAGUUUUUCCUCAUCCAGCUUCUUUUCCUCUCUCUGCUGGCUGAGCCUGGGGUUUUUAUGGUCACAGGAUGGGGGACGGGGUGGGCCAUGGGUGGUUUUGGGAGAGGCAACAUUCAAGAGGGACAACAGGGAUUUUUACUCCCACUUUUGGCUGCAGUAUUAGGCUUUUCAGCUUGAAGGUGGGGCCGGGGACCUGCCCUCUUCUGCCCAGAGUUUCCCUGGCUCUGGUCCCUAUCAAUAAUCUGCAGUUCAGGGCACAGAUGAACAUAUUUUUAUCUUUCUUUGAUGCUUCAAGUGACUCUAUUAUCUUGCAAUGUCUUCAGGUCGUCAUAAUUAACAUCAUGUUGUUGACUAUAAAUGUUUAACAAUGCAGGUUGUAGAGAGCUGUGCUUAAUAGAAAGCUGAAUACAAAUUAUUCGUUGAGAUACUAACAUGUGCCUAGCACAGCAAUACUACGUAAAGAAAAAGCAAGCAAGCAAACAAACAAACAAAAAAGGGAAAAAUAAAAAGACAUAUCCCUUGCUUAAUUUGUUUAUUAUCUUAAGCCUAGAGAAGGUAUUACAAGUGGUCAGAAUAGCAGUGUUAAGAUUCUGACCUUUCACUUGCUAUGUGACCUAGGGCAAGAUACAUAACUUUUUAGUGCUUGGGUUUUUUCAUUUGUAAAAUAUUAUUUGUAGAUUAUUAGUGUCUUUCUCAUUAAGGAGUUAUGAGGUUUAGCUAGGGUUAAAC